Molecule: ribosomal RNA, 487 nt
Filed under: uncultured bacterium
Lineage: Bacteria
Description: partial 16S ribosomal RNA
Rfam family: Bacterial small subunit ribosomal RNA
Source: RNAcentral
ACUCAAAUGAAUUGACGGGGACCCGCACAAGCAGAGGAUGAUGUGGUUUAAUAUGAAGCUACGCGUAGAACCUUACCGAGACUUGACAUCCUAGGAAUCCUGGCGAAAGCCGGGAGUGCCUUUUGGAACCUAGUGACAGAUGCUGCAUGGCCGUCGUCAGCUCGUGUCGUGAGAUGUUGGGUUAAGUCCCGCAACGAGCGCAACCCUUAUGGUAUGUUGGAUUUUUCAUGCCAAACUGCCCGGGCCAACCGGGAGGAAGGUGGGGAUGACGUCAGGUCGGCAUGGCUCUUACGUCUCGGGCCACACACGUCAUACAAUGGCCGGUACAAUGCGUCUUGCCAACCCGCGAGGGGGAGCUAAUCGCAUCAAAACCGGUCCCAGUUCGGAUUGUAGGCUGCAACUCGCCUGCAUGAAGUCGGAUUUGCUAGUAAACGUGGGUCAGCAUACCACGUUGAAUACGUUCCCGGGUCUUGUACACACCGCCCGU